Molecule: long non-coding RNA, 217 nt
Organism: Sinocyclocheilus grahami
Lineage: Eukaryota; Metazoa; Chordata; Actinopteri; Cypriniformes; Cyprinidae
Exons: 3
Source: RefSeq, a predicted model, not a curated record
GAUGCUUUGGAAGUAAAAGUUGUCAACGACAAGCCUGACAUCACCCAAAGGCCAGCUCUUUUUACAGUAAACCAGGAUGCAGCUGACAAGACAGACUCCAGUAAGAAUCCUCAGCGUUGAUCAAGCAAGUCCACAUCUAACCCAUCUAGAGUGGGAAUCAUCUUGGAAGAAAACUUUGUAAUGGAUGAACCGACCGAUCUCAGGCCUUCUAUGUCCA